UGCUUACUCAUAUUUGGUGAACCAUAGUGU
Molecule: non-coding RNA, 30 nt
Filed under: Mus musculus (house mouse)
Lineage: Eukaryota; Metazoa; Chordata; Mammalia; Rodentia; Muridae
Source: RNAcentral